RNAcentral lists this ribosomal RNA (253 nucleotides) under uncultured bacterium. Its description in RNAcentral is "partial 16S ribosomal RNA". It matches the Rfam family "Bacterial small subunit ribosomal RNA", at positions 524 to 776 of the family's 1533-position model. The record is from RNAcentral.
UACAGAGGUCUCAAGCGUUGUUCGGAUUCAUUGGGCGUAAAGGGUGCGUAGGCGGCGCGGUAAGUCGGGUGUGAAAUCUUGGAGCUUAACUCCGAAACUGCAUUCGAUACUGCCGUGCUUGAGGACUGGAGAGGAGACUGGAAUUUACGGUGUAGCGGUGAAAUGCGUAGAUAUCGUAAGGAAGACCAGUGGCGAAGGCGAGUCUCUGGACAGUUACUGACGCUGAGGCACGAAGGCCAGGGGAGCAAACGGG